RNAcentral lists this small RNA (518 nucleotides) under Pongo abelii (Sumatran orangutan). RNAcentral's name for it is "retained intron". Lineage: Eukaryota; Metazoa; Chordata; Mammalia; Primates; Hominidae. The record is from RNAcentral.
GAGCGGGUUCGAAGAUGGCGGCGCGCAAGGGUCGGCGGCGCACGUGUGAAGCCGGAGAACCCAUGGAGGCCGAGUCCGGCAACACAAGUUCCGAGGGCCCGGCCCAGGUCUACCUACCCGGCCGGGGGCCGCCGCUACGCGAAGGGGAGGAGCUGGUCAUGGACGAGGAGGCCUAUGUGCUCUACCACCGAGCGCAGACUGGUAGGGCUGAGUCCGGACUCCAGGGUCCUGAGGUGGCUGAUCCCGAGCCUUUAACCUGAGAGGUGCUCGGGAAGAGAAGGCUGGGGUCUAAGAGAAGUGAUUUCAUACCGGAGGCGGUUGAUCCAUGAGGGAGGUGGGGACUGAGCUCUUACUGUCCCGUCUUAACUCGUAAACCCCUUCUUCCAUCCCCAGGCGCCCCCUGUCUCAGCUUUGACAUAGUCCGGGAUCACCUGGGAGACAAUCGGACAGAGCUUCCUCUUACACUUUACUUGUGUGCUGGGACCCAGGCUGAGAGCGCCCAGAGCAACAGACUGAUG